CCAUAUUUGACGGUGGGACAAUGGCUAUGGUGAGAUUUUGUAGGAGAUGCGGCUGCUUCUUUUUAGGUGGUGUGCCGAUGUUUUAUUUUUUUGUGGGGGUGCUGCUGCUAGGGUCCUUCUUCCUUCCGUUCACUAUAUAAUAAGAGAAGAAAUAUUACAAAAUUAUUUUUUUUGUGUUUUUAAACUUAUAUUUUAAAAUAAAAAUCAAGAUCAUCCGUUGCUAAAAGCUCUGUCAAUUUUCGUCUUGGAACAUUGAAAUCCUUUGCUGCCGAUUUGUGUCGGAGUUGAGGCAUCGAAGAAGUCAGCGGUCUCCGGUCAGAGGUCAUUCCGCAGCUUUGGGUCGUCGUUCGAUUUUCUGGUCGUCGGCGUCGCAUCAACAUAUUUGCUUUUCUUUCGAUUGAAUCCAUUUGGACGUUCUUUCAUUAUACUAAAGGAGUUGGUUUGCGUGAGGGUCAAUUUCUCCCUUUAAUCUCGUUCUCCUUCUGUUAUUAUGCUAAUUGUGUGCCAUUUUGGUUGAAUUUCUUGUGAUUGAGUUAUAGUUAGUCUUUUCUUUAGUUGAAUGAAUUUCAUCGGGUGAAUACAUUUGGGAUAUAAAUUGAUGAAAUAAAAUAUGUGAUGAACAGUGAGUAAUUUGAGAAUUAAACUUGAAUUUAAGAUGAAGUAAUUUGGAAUUGGGAUUAACUUCACAUUCUUGUUUUAUCAAAUGGGACGUGGAAUGGGGAAAACAUCAACUCGUUGGUAACUAAUUCAUGCUCAUAUAUUGUAGGAGUCGGAUUUGGUCUAAAUAUAUGAAAUCAAGCACUAAAGAAAACGAGCAUGAAAUAAUCUUAUUUAGUUUUAGCUUUAUUUUAUUUCUAUUUUUCUUACACUACUCGCUAGUAACAUAUUUAGGUCGACCAUACUUGGGUAGGCAAACUUUUAAGGCGCUUAUGUUUUAGUUUUUUGAGGUGAGAGGUUUCCCCUUUAGUUAAUUAAUUUAUUCGGGGAAUGCUCCGAAAAACUUGUAAAUACUUUGGAGGUUGUGAUGAACACCAUGGAGGAAGUAUAGUGUAGGUUAGCUUAGGAUUUUAAUUUUCACUUUUAUUUUUCUUUUAUUAGGUGGGGACAACCUCGAACCUCGAGCCUCUUCUGUGUUUAUUUUUAUUUUUUGUGUGUUUCUACCUCAAUCUGAGUAUUUCUAAAAACCAACUAGAUCAUGUGCGCAACCGUGAUUUUUACGUGACUCGGGGAAUGCCUAACACCUUCUCCCCGAGUCAAAUGAACCACCUUAUCUAGAAUCUAUGGUGCAAUAAGUUUAGAGUCAAAUGUGUUUUGAAGGAAAAUUCUUAUUUUUGUUUACAAAAAAUAGUAACCUAGCACACAGAAACCAAAUGUCAGGUGGCGACUCUAAAAAUCCUUCGAAACGCAAUCUUUUUGUCACUUUCAAAUUGAAAUCCUUUUGAGCUUUAAAUUCUCUUUAUAUCUUUUUAAAGAGGGUUAGUGAGGUAAAAAGAAGGGGUGUGACAGUUUUGGCGACUCUACUGGGGAGUUGCAGGUUCGAGCUGGUACUUGAUCUUGUUGGCUUUUUAGAAUAUUCGGUUGAGGUUUUUAUGAUUUUAUUUUCUUUAUUUAAUUUUUAUUUUUGUUUAUGUCGUUUUAUUAUUUGUUAGUUAUUUACGUGUUUACAGUUUUUUCUUUAUGUGUUACUGCUUUAUAACUGUCAUCAUUUGCAUUACCCGAUUAAUUCUUUCUACAACAAGUCUCGUAAUACGCGUCGCAUACACGAACUUUUUGUUGAGUCACCCUUAUUUUAGGAGGGGUGCCAUCGGACGUAUGGAGUGGGUGGGAAGCUUGAGCAGCCACCGUCGAUCAUAUGCUCCCCCGGAUUGCCUUGUUAGUGAACCCCAAACGUAGGUCAACCUUUAGGUCAUUUUUAUUUGCAUCAUAUCAUUAUGACCUAGCAAGGCCCGGUGCUAGGUACUAUGUCCUUUGUAGGAAGCCUGUUCAAAUUGUGUCAAUAGGCCCGCCGACCCAAAAUGAUAUUCAAUCAUUCUACGUGCUAAAUGUUGCAUCUUUGAGGGUAGAAAGGUCAUUUGGCGGGCUGAUAUUUGGGAAAGAAGGGUGAAAAAUGAAGCAAGAGAGAAUAUUGAGAGUUUUGUCACUUUUAGUUUCUUGCCCCGUUCUCUAAAAGAAAAAUAACAAAAAGAUGUUAUACUUUCUCAUCAUUUUUCAAAAAAAGAAAAAGACAAAAAAUAGUUUUUCCAAGUUAGUUGCAUUUUUAAAUUCUCUCUCGUAUCCAAUCUUCCCGAACUACGUAUACCUGAUUCUCGUCUUUCAGGGCGGGAUACGUAGGCAGCCCAUAUAGGGUCCGGUCUUACUAGUGAGUUUUAAGUUCUUGGCUUCGGGGGUCCUAGCUAAAUCUUGCAUGCCUAGCCACUUUUGGCCACAGCGGCCUUUUUGCAAAAUAGGGCUAUUUUCUCAAAGUGGCUUGUUAACCCAUGUCUCAGAGUCAUGAGUCCACAACAAGGCGUCUACUUAGUUUAAGGUCCAUUUUUGUUGAGUUUGCAUGCUUAGCUAUUUUUGACCACAUAGGCCAUUUAUGCAAAACAGGUCAUUUUUAUAAAGUUAUUUUAGAGACCGUGAUUCCUGGGAGAUCGGGGGUCGCAUAGGCAUUCGUGAGGUAUUUUCCAUGUCUUACAGGUCGUCCUAGCUGAGUUUGCACUUCUAACCAACUUUUGGCCAUGUAGACCAUUUUACAAAAAUAACCUCAAUUAUGUCUUGCAUAUGUCCAAUAUGAAGUAUUAUUGUCUCACAUAGUGUCCUGAGUCACUAACUCUAUUUGCUCUUAUUUUUCUCAUUCAGGUAUGGAUCCACUUACUAGAGCUUGAGCAUGACAGAUACCCCAGGACCAUCCCAGCCAUGACCAUCCCAGCCAUGACCGUUGCCUUCAGGAGCUGUUUGAGGGGACUUUUUAUUUUUUGAGUAUGUUUUAUGUUAUCUUUUACUUUUUAGUCCUGUACAGUAGUAUUGAGUCUUUUAGGUGGUGUCAGAGUCUGUCAUAGUCUAGUUGAGUUCAUUGAGUCUUUUGUUAUCGUACCUCCUAUUUUAUAUAUGAAAACAAAAAAAAAGAGUUAUAAAUGAAAAAUCCAAAAGGAUUUUUAUUUUUAGUAUAUUUUGUCCAUUACUUUUGCAGAACUACGCUUGGUCUGAUUCAUGUGGAAUAUGAUACGUGUGCAACUUACAUCAGGUUCGAUCGAAUCAUUUUAG
This 3246-nucleotide long non-coding RNA is filed under the name Nicotiana tabacum (common tobacco). RNAcentral describes it as "long non-coding RNA (NTAB_LNC000713)". Lineage: Eukaryota; Viridiplantae; Streptophyta; Magnoliopsida; Solanales; Solanaceae. The record is from RNAcentral.